ACGCUGGCGGCGUGCUUAACACAUGCCAGUCGAACGAAGAGCGAUGGAAGCUUGCUUCUAUCAAUCUUAGUGGCGAACGGGUGAGUAACGCGUAAUCAACCUGCCCUUCAGAGGGGGACAACAGUUGGAAACGACUGCUAAUACCGCAUACGAUCUAAUCUCGGCAUCGAGGAUAGAUGAAAGGUGGCCUCUACAUGUAAGCUAUCACUGAAGGAGGGGAUUGCGUCUGAUUAGCUAGUUGGAGGGGUAACGGCCCACCAAGGCGAUGAUCAGUAGCCGGUCUGAGAGGAUGAACGGCCACAUUGGGACUGGGACACGGCCCAGACUCCUACGGGAGGCAGCAGUGGGGAAUCUUCCGCAAUGGACGAAAGUCUGACGGAGCAACGCCGCGUGAGUGAUGACGGCCUUCGGGUUGUAAAGCUCUGUUAAUCGGGACGAAAGGCCUUCUUGCGAAUAGUGAGAAGGAUUGACGGUACCGGAAUAGAAAGCCACGGCUAACUACGUG
Molecule: ribosomal RNA, 505 nt
Filed under: uncultured bacterium
Lineage: Bacteria
Description: partial 16S ribosomal RNA
Rfam family: Bacterial small subunit ribosomal RNA
Source: RNAcentral